AUCGGAUUCCCAACGAAGCAUUCCAGGGACGAGGACGGGGGACCCAAGGUCCUCCUGGAGAACGUGAGUUCUCGGAUGGACACCGGUUCGAAUGUGCAACACACACUCGAACCUUGGGGUGAAGCCAGACGCUCUCGCGCACGCGAGAGAUCAGGCCGGGCGACCUCUCAGCCCGAACCCGACAGCUGACCUCGCAGGCGCGUGUGGAGAGGAUCU
This 216-nucleotide small RNA is filed under the name Rhodococcus sp. (in: high G+C Gram-positive bacteria). RNAcentral's name for it is "Rhodococcus sp. c-di-AMP sequence". It matches the Rfam family "c-di-AMP riboswitch aptamer (ydaO/yuaA leader)". From Rfam's summary of the family: This family represents a conserved RNA structure found upstream of the ydaO and yuaA genes in Bacillus subtilis and related genes in other bacteria. The ydaO/yuaA element is thought to act as a genetic "off" switch for the ydaO and yuaA genes in its native state. It is believed that the element may be triggered during osmotic shock leading to activation of ydaO, a predicted amino acid transporter gene, and members of the yuaA-yubG operon which code for KtrA and KtrB K+ transporters. The record is from RNAcentral. Lineage: Bacteria; Bacillati; Actinomycetota; Actinomycetes; Mycobacteriales; Nocardiaceae.